RNAcentral lists this ribosomal RNA (465 nucleotides) under uncultured bacterium. RNAcentral's name for it is "partial 16S ribosomal RNA". It matches the Rfam family "Bacterial small subunit ribosomal RNA", at positions 28 to 507 of the family's 1533-position model. The record is from RNAcentral.
GACGAACGCUGGCGGCGUGCUUAACACAUGCAAGUCGAACGGAAAGGCGCCUUUUGGGGUCCGCUAGUGGCGGACGGGCGGGUAAGACGUGCGUAGCCUCCCCUUGUCUUCGGGAUAACAUCAGGGCACAGGGGCGAAUACUGGCUAGGAAGCCCUGCUGCUUGGAGGGGGGUGGAAAGCUGCGGCGGUUUUGGAUGGGCUCGCGGCUUAACGGCGUGUUGGGGGGGGAUUGGGUUACCACGGCGUGGACGGGUAGACGGACUGUGAGAGUGACCGGCCACAUUGGGACCGAGAGGCGGCCGAGACGCCUACGGGAGGAAACAGUGGGGAAGAUUGCACAAUGGGCGGAAGGCGGAUGCAGCAGGGCCGCGUGCGGGAUGACGGCCUUCGGGUUGAAAACCGCCUUCAGCAGGGGCGAGGCUUGUGGUGACGGUACCUGCAGAAGAAGCACCGGCUAACUACGUG